Molecule: ribosomal RNA, 253 nt
Filed under: uncultured bacterium
Lineage: Bacteria
Description: partial 16S ribosomal RNA
Rfam family: Bacterial small subunit ribosomal RNA
Source: RNAcentral
UACGGAGGGUGCAAGCGUUAUCUGGAUUCACUGGGUUUAAAGGGUGCGUAGGCGGGUAGGUAAGUCAGUGGUGAAAUCUUCGAGCUUAACUCGGAAACUGCCUUUGAUACUAUCUAUCUUGAAUAUUGUGGAGGUAAGCGGAAUAUGUCAUGUAGCGGUGAAAUGCUUAGAUAUGACAUAGAACACCUAUUGCGAAGGCAGCUUACUACGCAUAUAUUGACGCUGAGGCACGAAAGCGUGGGGAUCAAACAGG